AAACUGCGAGGAUCUAGCUACAACAUCUAUCACCCCAUUAAUCUCCAAGGUUGAUUUGGCUGGCUAAGUGGGUGACCCCUUCCUCCCUGACCACUCCCUGUGUGUCCCUCUGAAGCUGUAAGCUUGGUCAAAGAUGACCUUCUUUAAUAGAGGAGGACUGUUCUUCAGUCAUGAGUACAUAAGUGGCUGAACUCCCCUUUGAACAAGCUCUCAAACUGUGGGGAUCUUCCUCUGCUCUGUAGCCCAGA
RNAcentral lists this small nuclear RNA (248 nucleotides) under Saimiri boliviensis boliviensis (Bolivian squirrel monkey). RNAcentral describes it as "7SK RNA (ENSSBOG00000008608.1)". It matches the Rfam family "7SK RNA". Rfam says of the family: 7SK was discovered as an abundant small nuclear RNA in the mid-70s but a possible function has only recently been suggested. The record is from Rfam by way of RNAcentral. Lineage: Eukaryota; Metazoa; Chordata; Mammalia; Primates; Cebidae.